GACGAACGCUGGCGGCGUGCUUAACACAUGCAAGUCGAACGCUGAAGCUCAGCUUGCUGGGUGGAUGAGUGGCGAACGGGUGAGUAACACGUGAGUAACCUGCCCUCUUCUUUGGGAUAACGCCCGGAAACGGGUGCUAAUACUGGAUAUUCACUGAUUCUCGCAUGGGGGUUGGUGGAUAGGUUUUUUCUGGUGGGGGAUGGGCUCGCGGCCUAUCAGCUUGUUGGUGGGGUGAUGGCCUACCAAGGCUUUGACGGGUAGCCGGCCUGAGAGGGUGACCGGUCACAUUGGGACUGAGAUACGGCCCAGACUCCUACGGGAGGCAGCAGUGGGGAAUAUUGCACAAUGGGCGAAAGCCUGAUGCAGCGACGCCGCGUGAGGGAUGGAGGCCUUCGGGUUGUAAACCUCUUUCGCUCAUGGUCAAGCCGCAGCUUUGGGUUGUGGUGAGGGUAGUGGGUAAAGAAGCGCCGGCUAACUACGUG
RNAcentral lists this ribosomal RNA (482 nucleotides) under uncultured bacterium. RNAcentral describes it as "partial 16S ribosomal RNA". It matches the Rfam family "Bacterial small subunit ribosomal RNA", at positions 28 to 507 of the family's 1533-position model. The record is from RNAcentral.